AGGAUUAAAUUAAUUAUUGUUCAGAGCACCUGAUGUUUAGCCUUUAAAUUUGACCCAGAGGCUACUCAACUUUCUUUUCCCCCCCAAAAAGUCUGUCAGUUUUGAUCUAAAUUUGUAUUUCCAAACUGGAAUUAUGAUGAACUAAAUUAGGGUUGCCAGUUGUUGGUUUAAAGUGCAUAAUUUAUCUUCAUGGUUUUAAGUUUUGAUCAAGAGAUUGUAAAUUAACUUUAAAAACCACUUGUCGGUUAUUAGUUUCAGGUUUGGAAUCAGGUAGGCGAAGCAUUUUUAGGUCGACCAGGGAACGUUAAUCUACAUACAGGAACUGUCUAGAGUGGUAGGUGAAGCUGAAUCUUUAUCUUAAACAUUGACAAAGUGAAGUGGCACUCCACUGUAACCUGAGAACAUCUAGGCUAGCCUAGGGACCACAAAUGCAAAUUAUUUAUUGAUCAAAAUCCUCUUGCAGAGUUGAUGCUGCCAAAAAGGGCAGUGGCCACUCAAAGUGACACUGGCUGCUAACUAAAUAGUCACUGCUUACAUUGUGUGUGUAGUGCGCACCCAUGAAUCCAAGCAGUGGAUAUUAAUUUGCUACUACAUGUUAUGCCAUUGUCCUUCCUCCAGGAUUUGAUUUAAUUAAUGUAAUUUACUACACAGGAUUUGAUUUAAUUAAUGUAAUUUACACCUUUCUCCUAAUUCAAAGAUCCAAUAUGGGGGGAGGCAACAGCUACAAAAACAACAAAACACGGGUACAUAAAUUAAAGUGUUGAAAUGCAAUUAAACAUAUUAUGGCCAGCAUCCCAUUGGUGAAUUAUAUAUAAAUAUAAAAAAUAACAUAAUUAGCAGCACUAAAUUGCUGCUAAUUAAUAAGAAGGCAGCUGUAUUCUAGUCCACUUUGCCAAAGGUGAUAUCUGAAACCUACGUUCUCUGAGUGAAUUCUGCAGCCUCCAUCGGAACUUGCUUUGAACAAGGGAUCUGGCCCACACAUUUAGCCAUGGAUUUGGAAACUUGCAUGUUCUUUCUUUACCACCCUUCACUCUGUAAUGCCCAGCCUGAUGAAAACCUGUGCAAAAUCAAAAGCUAGCCUCUGUAUAUGAGAGAUUUUAUUGACUGAAUAAAUUUUUUACCAUCUUAGUUUUUAAGAUGCCA
Molecule: long non-coding RNA, 1143 nt
Filed under: Pogona vitticeps (central bearded dragon)
Lineage: Eukaryota; Metazoa; Chordata; Lepidosauria; Squamata; Agamidae
Description: lncRNA (ENSPVIG00000001368.1)
Source: RNAcentral